RNAcentral lists this ribosomal RNA (253 nucleotides) under uncultured bacterium. RNAcentral's name for it is "partial 16S ribosomal RNA". It matches the Rfam family "Bacterial small subunit ribosomal RNA", at positions 524 to 776 of the family's 1533-position model. The record is from RNAcentral.
UACGUAGGGGGCGAGCGUUGUCCGGAUUUAUUGGGCGUAAAGAGCGUGUAGGCGGCUUGGUAGGUCUGCUGUGAAAACUCGAGGCUUAACCUCGAGCUGUCGGCGGAAACUAUUUGGCUAGAGUCCGGAAGAGGAGAAUGGAAUUCCCGGUGUAGAGGUGAAAUUCGUAGAUAUUCGCAAGAACACCAGUGGCGAAGGCGGCUCACUGGCCCGGUACUGACGCUGAGGUGCGAAAGCGUGGGGAGCAAACAGG